RNAcentral lists this ribosomal RNA (1338 nucleotides) under Mycobacterium sp. DWMJ-1199A1. RNAcentral describes it as "bacterial SSU rRNA". It matches the Rfam family "Bacterial small subunit ribosomal RNA", at positions 81 to 1431 of the family's 1533-position model. The record is from RNAcentral. Lineage: Bacteria; Bacillati; Actinomycetota; Actinomycetes; Mycobacteriales; Mycobacteriaceae.
UUCGGGGUACUCGAGUGGCGAACGGGUGAGUAACACGUGGGUGAUCUGCCCUGCACUUUGGGAUAAGCCUGGGAAACUGGGUCUAAUACCGAAUAGGACCACGCGCUUCAUGGUGUGUGGUGGAAAGCUUUUGCGGUGUGGGAUGGGCCCGCGGCCUAUCAGCUUGUUGGUGGGGUAAUGGCCUACCAAGGCGACGACGGGUAGCCGGCCUGAGAGGGUGACCGGCCACACUGGGACUGAGAUACGGCCCAGACUCCUACGGGAGGCAGCAGUGGGGAAUAUUGCACAAUGGGCGCAAGCCUGAUGCAGCGACGCCGCGUGAGGGAUGACGGCCUUUCGGGUUGUAAACCUCUUUCAAUAGGGACGAAGCGUGAGUGACGGUACCUAUAGAAGAAGCACCGGCCAACUACGUGCCAGCAGCCGCGGUAAUACGUAGGGUGCGAGCGUUGUCCGGAAUUACUGGGCGUAAAGAGCUCGUAGGUGGUUUGUCGCGUUGUUCGUGAAAACUCACAGCUUAACUGUGGGCGUGCGGGCGAUACGGGCAGACUAGAGUACUGCAGGGGAGACUGGAAUUCCUGGUGUAGCGGUGGAAUGCGCAGAUAUCAGGAGGAACACCGGUGGCGAAGGCGGGUCUCUGGGCAGUAACUGACGCUGAGGAGCGAAAGCGUGGGGAGCGAACAGGAUUAGAUACCCUGGUAGUCCACGCNGUAAACGGUGGGUACUAGGUGUGGGUUCCUUCCUUGGGAUCCGUGCCGUAGCUAACGCAUUAAGUACCCCGCCUGGGGAGUACGGCCGCAAGGCUAAAACUCAAAGGAAUUGACGGGGGCCCGCACAAGCGGCGGAGCAUGUGGAUUAAUUCGAUGCAACGCGAAGAACCUUACCUGGGUUUGACAUGCACAGGACGCCGGCAGAGAUGUCGGUUCCCUUGUGGCCUGUGUGCAGGUGGUGCAUGGCUGUCGUCAGCUCGUGUCGUGAGAUGUUGGGUUAAGUCCCGCAACGAGCGCAACCCUUGUCCUAUGUUGCCAGCGGGUUAUGCCGGGGACUCGUAGGAGACUGCCGGGGUCAACUCGGAGGAAGGUGGGGAUGACGUCAAGUCAUCAUGCCCCUUAUGUCCAGGGCUUCACACAUGCUACAAUGGCCGGUACAAAGGGCUGCGAUGCCGUGAGGUGGAGCGAAUCCUUUCAAAGCCGGUCUCAGUUCGGAUCGGGGUCUGCAACUCGACCCCGUGAAGUCGGAGUCGCUAGUAAUCGCAGAUCAGCAACGCUGCGGUGAAUACGUUCCCGGGCCUUGUACACACCGCCCGUCACGUCAUGAAAGUCGGUAACACCCGAAGCCGGU